UGAUUGUUUCCCCUAAAGUUCAUAAUAAUCUUGCAGGGUUUCUUAAUUUUUUUUCUGUAUUUAUCAGUUUAACUCCAAAUCUUUCAUCAAUUUUGCAAAUCUUCUCUUGAGAUGUUGAAACAUAGCAGGAAUUCUCUCAAUGGAACCUUUCUGAAGAAACCUCUUCUAGGGGUGCCCGGGUGGCUCAGUGGGUUGGGCCUCUGCCUUUGGCACCGGUCAUGAUCUCAGCGUCCUUGGAUUGAGCCCUGCAUCCGGCUCUCUGCUCAGCGUGGAGCCUGCUUCUUCCUCUCCCUCUGCCUGCCUCUCUUCCUACUUGUAAUCUCUCUCUGUCAAACAAAUAAAUAAAAUCUUAAAAAUAAAUAAUAAAUAAAAAUAAAUUAAAAAAAAAAAAGAAACCUCUUCUAGAACCUUCUGUGGGAUCCAGCUUGGACUGUUGGAGCUCCUUAGCUGGUAAAUUGCUGCCCCCCUAGGACCUCCCUUUACCAUCACCUUGAGAAUUCCCUUUACCUCACUCCUGUGUCUCUCCUAUUCUCUACCUUCCUCUUUGUGGUUGGUCCUGUUUAUUUAUUUAUCCUGACAGUUGACUAGAGUGUGAGAAUCGGAAUUUUGAAAGCUUCUGGCAGAUGAGAAAUUGAUGGCAUUUGUUUUAUUGAUUCUCUCUCUCUCUGCUCCCCCAACCUCCCACCGACCCCUGCUUUUUUUCUCAGUUUAUAGGUGCCUCAGUUUUCCCCAGCACAUUGAUAUUUUAUAAUGACAUGUCUUGCAUCUAUUGUAAUCCACUUUAUUUUGUUGCCAGGCAUACAAUGAACUCAAACUCGGAUCCUUCAAAUCCAGUAUACUCACUUGAAUUGUCCCUUACGUCCAACCUCCAUUUUGUCUCAUCUCUCUUCCGGAAUGCCUAUGAUUCAGACAUCACUUCCUGUACUACAUCAGAAGCUCUGCUCAGAUGCCUGGUUAUCCUUGACUACCUCUCACAUUGAAGAAUGGGGGCCAAAUCCUCCAAACACAAGGGGUUGGUGGUUGUUGAGAUCUGGGAAUCUGACUACUUCAAAAACCAACUUUCAACCAGUCCUCAUCUUAGCCUUUCUGAUGCUCCCUCCCCUGCAAGUUCCAGACAGUACCCACCUCUGAGCUGCGGGUCCCACGUACACGGAGUUGGAUUUUUUCUGCCAAGUCAUCAGUUCUCUCGUCCAUCUGCUUUCCAGUUCAUAAAACUCACUGUGGAUAAGGAAUCAUCAGAGCAUCUCUAGUACCUGACACAUAUGCGGCAUACAGACAUCAGUCUCAGAAAUACCAGUUUCAGAAAGCUUUAAUUUGCAGAUGUAAAUUAAACAGGAAAAGCGGAAUUAUUGUCUUAAGACAAGUUACCAACAAAAGUCUUUAAAAGUUCUUUUUCAAAGAAUUUAACAUGAACUUAAAAAUUUCCUCUCUCAAGAGCUUCAGAGGUCAUCCUUGAUAAGAAGUCAGAUAAAAUACCCAACUGCAGGAUACUCCAACACCAUGCUUCUGUGAAAAUACAACAGCUUUGUCUCAUUUUUAUAAAGAAAUUAAAACUAGAUUAACAGAAAAUUAACUUGGUCAGGCCUCUUUUUUAUUGUUCAAGCCAAGUGAAACAUGAAAAGUAACAAAUUAAAUCCUAUACUAAAUUCUAUGAUUCUAUGAUAUGAAUAGUGGAAAAGAGGCUGAACUUUUUCAAAUACUUCCAGCAAUAAUUUUGUAAUUCCUGGUUAUAAGCAUUUGGAAGAUAUUACAUUCAAAUUUCUGUACUGAAUCAUUCCCCAUUAAUACUAAAUUUAAUUUUAGUUAUUCAAAAAGGAGUGUAGUUUAUAGAGAAUUAUAGAGAAAACUUUGGGUCAAAUAAAAUUUACCUGAUAUAAAUAUCCACCUCAAAUGUACUUUUCUCCAACUUACUAUGGAAUUUAUGAAAAUAUCAUAUGUAUGGCCAUUUGCUUCCUAAAAAGAUUUGAGGUAGAGUUCAAUAGAUAGCCAGUUACACAGGAUAAAUAUAAGAUAAUACAAAGGCUGUAGACAGAAUGGUGCUUAUAUAUUUUGAGUCCAAGAUGAGGUUUUG
Long non-coding RNA from Mustela putorius furo (domestic ferret), 2071 nucleotides. Lineage: Eukaryota; Metazoa; Chordata; Mammalia; Carnivora; Mustelidae. The record is from Ensembl.